RNAcentral lists this ribosomal RNA (331 nucleotides) under uncultured bacterium. RNAcentral's name for it is "bacterial SSU rRNA". It matches the Rfam family "Bacterial small subunit ribosomal RNA", at positions 32 to 353 of the family's 1533-position model. The record is from RNAcentral.
AAUCAACGCUGGCGGCGUGCCUCAGACAUGCAAGUCGAACGAUUAAAGCUCUCUUCGGAGAGUGUAUAGAGUGGCGCGACGGGUGAGUAACACGUAAGUAAUCUAACCUUCGAGUGGGGAAUAACGUCCGGAAACGGACGCUAAUACCGCAUAAUGCAGCGGCAUCGCAAGAUGACAGUUGUUAAAGAUUUAUCGCUUGAAGAGGAGCUUGCGGCAGAUUAGCUAGUUGGUAAGGUAACGGCUUACCAAGGCUACGAUCUGUAUCCGGUCUAAGAGGACGGUCGGACACACUGACACUGAAUAACGGGUCAGACUCCUACGGGAGGCAGCA